This 5692-nucleotide long non-coding RNA is filed under the name Olea europaea (common olive). Its description in RNAcentral is "long non-coding RNA (OEUR_LNC008880)". Lineage: Eukaryota; Viridiplantae; Streptophyta; Magnoliopsida; Lamiales; Oleaceae. The record is from RNAcentral.
UAGACAAGAUUCAAGGCAAAACAAUGAAAAGGGGAUGGAAAAAUACAACCUGUGUUUGGCCAGAAAUUUGGACAGAUUUUCUCUUUCCUUGCAGCAACUUUCUUCCCUUCUAAUGGCUGUUUUUCAGGUUCAGGAACAGCCUUCCAUGACUUGCUAAUUACCUUCCAAGAGAGAGGGGAAAACUAAUGAAGAACCACCACCCUUUGCUAAAAACCGAGAGCUCACUUUCAGCUGGGAGGAAAAAUCGAGAGCUCUUCUACUUAAAAUGGUAGAGGGUAAGUCUACAUAAGAAGGAAAGACCAUGCCUCUACCAAAAACGUGGGAAGACCUUAUUGUGUCAACAUCAAUACCAUCAAGUCACAAGUUGAUAGUGUUAGGUGAACCAUAUCCUCACAUUCUUCACCUUGGUUCUCCUAACACUCUCUCUUGGUUGCGAAUUUGCAUAUGGAAGAACUGUUCAUCAUCCUCGCCCACUACCUGCAAGAAAAAUUAACCAGUGUCAAUAUGUAAUAAAGAUAAGCACAAUUUAAAUUUACUUGCAGGUAGAAUUUUUGUUCCCAUAUCAGAGGGAUUCCUAUCAGUGUGAAUUUUAACAAGAUUAACUUCACCUUGAGACAGUUUCUCACGAAUAAAAUGAUACUUUACCUCAAUAUGUUUAGUUCUUUCAUGAUAAACAGGAUUUUUACAAAGCAAUAAAGCACUUUGACUAUCAGUAAACAUAACAGGUGUAUCAUGCAUGAAGUUCAAUUCUUUUAAAAUUCCUUUUAACCAAGUACAUUCUUUAACCGCCUCAGUUAUGGCAACAUAUUCUGCCUCAGUACUUGAUAAAGUAACUAAAGGCUGCAGCUGUGACUUCCAUGUUAUACAAUUGUCACCUAGUGUAAAAAAGUACGCUGUGGUAGACUUUCUGCUAUCCUUGUCACCAGCAAAAUCAGAGUCUACAUACCCCUUUAGAGUAAGUUUUUCAGAUUUCUUUUCAUACACUAGACCCAGAUUUAAUGUACCAACAAUGUACCUUAACAACCAUUUCAGACCUGCCCAAUGAGGCUUUCCUGGGUUUGACAUAAAUCUGCUCAAAAAACUUAUAGAAUAGGCUAAGUCAGGCCUGGUUGUUAUCAUAGAGAACAUGACGGAACCUAUAGCAUUAGCGUAGGGUAUGUUCCUCAUUUCUCUAAAUUCCUCCUCAGUCUUAGGAGAUUGUGCACCAGAAAGAUUCAUAUGAGCUGCUAAGGGAACGUUCACAGAUUUUGAUCCAUUCAUACCAAAUUUGGUUAUGACUUUGUUUAGAUAGGCUUCUUGGGAAAUGACUAGUCUAUUUUCAGCCCUAUCUCUCUUUAUAACCAUCCCCAAAAUCUUCUUAGCACUCCCCAAAUCUUUCAUAUCAAAUUCUGAUUUUAAAAGGUUCUUCAUCUUAGUGAUUUCAGUCUUACUUGAACUUGCUAGAAGCAUGUCAUCUACAUACAGCAACAAGUAGACCUCACAGCCCUCCUUACUGUCAUUAUAGUACAUGCAUGCAUCAUAUUCACUCCUUUUAAAGCCUAUCUUCAGUACAUAGGUAUCGAACCUUAUGUACCACUGUCUAGGGCUUUGUUUAAGCCCAUACAGAGAUCUUUCUAAUUUGCACACACAGUUAGUUUUACCUUUUACCUCAAAACCUUGAGGUUGACUCAUGUAAAUAUCCUCUUCCAAUUCCCCAUGUAGGAAAACAGUCUUGACAUCUAGUUGUUUCAGUUCCCAGUUGUACUGAACAACCAAUGCAAGAACCAGUCUGAUUGUUUUGUACUUUAUCACAGGAGACAGUCUGAUUGUUUUGUACUUUAUCACAGGAGAGAAUAUCUCAUUGUAAUCAACCCCUCCUUUUGAGUGAACCCUUUCGCUACUAAUCUGGCCUUAUACCUAGGAGGAUCACUAGGAUUAUUUCCUUCUUUCAAUUUGUAAAUCCACUUACAUUGAACUAGCCUAUGAUCCUUAGGUUUGUUAACUAACUUUCAAGUUUUAUUCUCCAUUAGAGAUUCCAUUUCUUCCCGCAUAGCUUUUAGCCAACUUUCAGAACAUUUUCCAUUAACAGUUUUUUCAUAACUAGCAGGUUCUAUCUGUUCAAGGGCUUCACCUGAAACCAAGGCAAAAUCAGUCAAGUUUAGAGAUUCAUAUCUAGGAUUUGGCCUGAUUUGCCUCCUUUCCCGAUCCCUAGUAAGCUGAUAAUCUUGAUUAGGUGGCUGAUCAUUAAAAUGUUCAACUUCAACUGGUUCAAUGUUAUCUUGAAGUUCAGUCACCUCUUCAGGUUCAGGUUCAGGUUCAAUUUCAAUUUCAUUUUCAUUUUCAUGAUGUAUAGGGUCAUUUUCAUCAUUCCCAGGUGUAGGUGAAUUUAGCCUAGUCAGCUUCACCUAAGUCUGAAUACUCUUCUCAGUUUCAGAUUUGUUAGUUUCUUCGGUUUUCUAUUUUAGACAUGGCAUCUCAGAUUCAUUAAAGACUACAUUCCUGCUGUUAAUAAUCUUAAUGCCUUGGACCCCUAAAACCCAUAACCUAUAGCCCUUCACACCCUCGGGAUACCCUAACAUCACACACUUGACAGCCCUGGGCUCAAGUUUCCCUUCAGAUUGAUGUGCAUAUGCAGCACAUCCAAACACCCUCAAGUGUUCCAGAUUUGGAGGCUCUCCCGUCCACAACUCCUGUGGGGUCUUAAACCCUAUACUGCUGGACGGAGACCUAUUAAUCAGAUAUGCUGCAGUACUUGCAGCUUCAGCCCAAAAACCUUUCGCAAGGCCAGAGCUAAUCAACAUACACCUAACUUUGUUCAUUAUGGUCCUGUUCAUUCUUUCAGCGACCCCAUUUUGUUCAGGUGUGUAUUUAACAGUUCUGUGUCUUGUUAUACCUUUCUGCUUACAGAAGUUGUCAAAUUCGCUAUUACAGAAUUCAAGCUCAUUAUCAGUUUUUAACGUUUUAAGUUUCUUAUCUAACUGAUUCUCAACAGACUUUAACCAAAUCCUGAAUUUUUCAAAAGUUUUCGACUUAGCCUUCAAAGGAUAAAUCCAAACCUUUCUUGAGUAAUCAUCCACUAAGGACAAGAAGUACUUGCUCCCACCAAAUGUGGAGUGCUUCUCCGGGCCCCAUAGAUCAGCAUGGACAUAGUCCAAUGGUCUGCUGGUCCUAUGAGAGCUAGCUUCAAAGCUCACCUUAUGAGACUUACCCAAAACACAAGUUUCACAGAAUUCCAUAGUUUCAAUGUCAUCUUUUCCAAGUAAUUUCUGAUUACUUAAAGAUUUUAGACCUUUAAACCCAAUGUGACCCAUUCUGUUAUGCCAAAGUUCAGUUUUGUCUUUACUCAUAGCAAGAAGGCUAAAAUCAAAUGGUAUUUCAGUUCUACCCUCAAGAUACUACAGCCCAUUCCUCUUGGGCCCCUUCAUAACUAUAAGAGAACCCUUCAUAAUUUUCAAAAUCUUGUUACCAGACUUGAAGGUAUAUCCCUCAUCUUUCAGAGAACCUAAGGAAAUGAGGUUCCUCUUUAAAUUUGGGACAUAUCUAACAUUUCUAAGUUGCGUGACGGCCCCAUCGUACAUCCUGAUGGCUAUGUCACCAACUCCAAUCACAUUUUGAGAAUUAUUGUCUCCCAUGUAGACCUUCCUAGGUUCAGUCUCCCUAUAGUUAUAAAACCAAGACCUAUCAGGGCACAUAUGGAAAGUGCACCCUGUGUCAAGAAUCCAAUUUUUGUCAAAUUCUUCUUCAGACACAUUCAUGACAUGCAAACUAUUAAAUUCAGUAGCAAUAGCAGCAUUAUCAACAUCAGAAUUGUUUUGGUCUUUUUGUUUCCUUUUGCAAUCAAAGCAGCCUUUCUUGAAAUGUCCUAACUUUCCACAGUGAUAACAUUUCUUACCGCUUUUAUCUUUAGAUUUGGAUCUCAUUUUAGAUUUUCCUCUCCCCUUCUUGUUAUGGAAGUUGAAUUCUUUCUUUUCAGAUCUUCCCCUAACAAAUAGACUCCCUUCACGAGAAUGAAUUCUGUUUUCUCUUUUUAAUUCAAGUUCUCUUGAUUUUAAAGCAUCAGAAACAAUAGCUUGAGUGAGAGUGUCCCUACCAUACUUUAUGGCAUUUUUCAUUUCUCUGUAAGAUUAGGGCAAAGUGUUUAGCAAUAUGACAGCUAAAUCCUCAUCAUCAAAUGUUUUAUCAUUAUGAGCUAAACUCUUAACAAUUAUGCUAAAGUCACUCAAAUUCCCCUCGACAUCCUUCCCCGGGUCCAUCUUAAAACUAAACAACUUCUCCAAUAGGUAUAUUUUGUUAGGUAAAAUUUUAGUUAAGAACAGGGCAUCUAGAGCAAUCCACAAAGCUCUAACAGUUUUAGCACUAUCAACUUGUCUCACAAUAUUGUCAGAUAGAUGCAAAAUUAUAUAACUGUAAGCAAUUUCAUUCAUGUCUUCAAUUUCAGUUGUUUUAGCUUUUAACUCAUCAGAAAAUGUAGCGGGAUCAUCAAGAGCUUUAGCAACUCUCUGUUGGACCAAAAUGGCCCUCAUUUUCUGUUUCCAUAUCAAGUAAUCCCCCUUUCCAUCGAAUUGCGAUAAUUCGACCCUCGAACCCAUUAUAGAUUCUAUAAAAGAGUGGCCUGUACUCGUGGACACAACAAAAAAGGUUUUGAAAAAUUCUUUUCCAGAUGAUCAAUAUAAAACUAAGUACCGAGUUUAAAAACAAUUUUUAGAAAUGAAGCACAAUAGUGAAAUAAUCCGUUCACGAAACACAGGUAUAUAAAGCAGGUAAAUAUGCUUCUAGGUUACAGAUUAAUCACAAGAAUUCAAUCAACAGAAUUCACAAAUAAGCAACCAAGCAAUAACCAUGCAUAAACCGGUAAGGAUACCAAACCUAACCUAACGGAGAGUUUGGAAUAAUCUUACCAAACUACUGUUGACAAACAGUAAAUAUACCACCAAGUUUCUGAACCAAAUUGUCGUAGACGUCAAGCUAGGGGCAAAAUCGUCCAACUUUUUCUGUAAAAUCUGAAACAGAAAACAAACGACAUCAGUGCGUUCAGGACGUCAAAAUAAGUAAACUGCCCGAAAAAAGCUCGCCGGAGGUCCGGCCACGCGCCGCCGCCGGUCACGCGCCCCACCACAGGGUGCGCUUCCUCCUGCUGGUCAUGGUUCCAUGGUCCAUUUCGUCGGAAAGUCAAUAGGUUGGUCGGAAAUCAAGUUUUCAGAUUCGGUCAGAAAGUGGUAAUGGUGAUUCCUUGCUGGUUUUUGAUCGAUUUUGGACUAAUAUCACUCCUCCUAGCUCUGAUACCAGUUUGUUGGGGAUCCUAGGAGUUCAAUCAACCAAAACAACAACCAAUAGACAAGAUUCAAGGCAAAACAAUGAAAAGGGGAUGGAAAAAUACAACCUGUGUUUGGCCGAAAAUUUGGACAGAUUUUCUCCUUCCUUGCAGCAGCUUUCUUCCCUUCUAAUGGCUGUUUUUCAGGCUCAGGAACAGCCUUCCAUGACUUGCUAAUUACCUUCCAAGAGAGAGGGGAAAACCAAUGAAGAACCACCACCCUUUGCUAAAAACCGAGAGCUCACUUUCAGCUGGGAGGAAAAACCGAGAGCUCUUCUACUUAAAAUGGUAGAGGGUAAGUCUACAUAAGAAGGAAAGACCAUGCCUCUGCCAAAAACGUGGGAAGACCUUAUUGUGUCAACAUCAAUACCAUCAAGUCACAAGUUGAUAGUGUUAGGUGAA